Molecule: long non-coding RNA, 1131 nt
Filed under: Felis catus (domestic cat)
Lineage: Eukaryota; Metazoa; Chordata; Mammalia; Carnivora; Felidae
Description: lncRNA (ENSFCAG00000053853.1)
Source: RNAcentral
AUGACAUUAGCUUAUAUACAAGUCAACACGCCGGUUCUGAUGCUUCCAAAUUCUACACCUCAGUUCUGGUCUUGCCAACAGAAGAAGUUUUGCCCAGCUUUGAAGACAACCACCAGUAGCCCUGGGAUCCUCUCCUCUGCAGACCAACCACCUUUCCCUCUUCCCCACACAGUCCGAGGGCUGCAUGCUAGUCAGGGAAUGUUCCCGCCCAAAGGCGGUGCCCAGUCCUCUGCCCAGCACUCCAGGUGCAUUCCAGUCAAAGAUCCUGUGACCUUACGUGAUCAUUUCCUGAACAUGAUUCACUAUUCAUACAGCCCAGUGUUGCCCCAGGUCUCAGCCACGACACUGCAUUGUAAGAAAGUAGCAAGGUGGGAUCAACCAAAAAACCCUUGGUGUUUUCCACUCACACGUGCUGCUAGGCCAGCUGUCCCCUGUUGAAUUGGAUGUCAAGGACGGGUGACUUGGAGAGAAGGCGAGGGCAUUCUGGUGAAGGGAGGAGAUCAGGCAAUGAGGCUGUUCAGGGAACACUGAGUGAGUAGCUAGCUAACAGAUAGCAAAAUGCACUCUGAUGCUAUAGUAAUUCAAACAGAUUUAUACCAGCACAAAUAGAGCCAAGCAGAACUGAGAAACAGAGCUAUGGAAAUUAAGUAUUUGUUAAAGAUUUUUUUUCAAUUUAGUGGGGCAGGUGUGAACUUUUCAAUAUGUGCUAUUGGAAAACUGGGCUAUCCAUUUGUCUGAAAUGAUGAUUCGAUGCAUUUCUGUCAUUAUAUAUCCACACUAAUUUCAGAUAUAUUAAAUACCAAGAUGUUAUAUUGUAUAAAUAUAAAUACCAUAUUAUGUAAAUAUUACUUGCAUACGAAAAAGACAGUUUUUAGUGAAGGGAGAGAGCUUCCUUAAAAAAAGGCUUAAGACCCAUAAUAUUAAUUUUUUUUUUUCAACGUUUACUUAUUUUUGGGACAGAGCGACACAGAGCAUGAACGGGGGAGGGGCAGAGAGAGAGGGAGACACAGAAUCGGAAACAGGCUCCAGGCUCUGAGCCAUCAGCCCAGAGCCUGACGCGGGGCUCGAACUCACGGACCGCGAGAUCGUGACCUGGCUGAAGUCGGACGCUUAACCAACCAAGCCACCCAG